RNAcentral lists this ribosomal RNA (260 nucleotides) under uncultured prokaryote. RNAcentral describes it as "partial 16S ribosomal RNA". It matches the Rfam family "Bacterial small subunit ribosomal RNA", at positions 524 to 782 of the family's 1533-position model. The record is from RNAcentral.
UACGUAGGGUGCGAGCGUUGUCCGGAAUUACUGGGCGUAAAGAGCUCGUAGGUGGUUUGUCACGUCGUCUGUGAAAUUCCGGGGCUUAACCUCGGGCGUGCAGGCGAUACGGGCAAUACUUGAGUGCUGUAGGGGAGACUGGAAUUCCUGGUGUAGCGGUGAAAUGCGCAGAUAUCAGGAGGAACACCAAUGGAGAAGGCAGGUCUCUGGGCAGUUACUGACGCUGAGGAGCGAAAGCAUGGGUAGCGAACAGGAUUAGA